CUCUUAUUUAGGUUGUAGAAAAGGGUAUGGUUGUGUAGGAGAGUUCCUAUGCACCCUGAACGCAACACAGGUGUGGAGCUCGGUAACCCCAGAGAGAGAAAGGCAGCAAAGAAGCAGCCGAAUGACUGUGUGUUCAUAAACCUGUAAGUUUUUUGUCAUUCAUGCCAUUAUGUUUCUGUUAGAGAGGUAAUGUGCCAAUUUGUUUAGCUGUAUAGUGUAUUUACAGCUUUGCUUUAUUACCGUUGUAACUGUGGUUCGAACUGGCUUGGAUUAUUCUGUUUGUUUACAGAACCACACACACAUUUACAUAUAUACCUGCUUCAUGUACAUUCUGGCAAAGAUAUAUAAAGAGUAAAAAUGGAACUGGACCCUUCCUGAUCUGUUCCGCAUCCACAUAAAGCUAAUAGUUGUUCUGACCGGACACUCUGAGGCGAUUGCUGCCAGCUUAGAUCCUGCUGAAGUCUUCCCAACAAUCAGGACCAGAAACUAGAAACUAGAAAGCUGGAGAACCUCAUGACGCACUUUCAGCCAAUCAGAUUCACUUUAAUGUUCCAUCAUCACAAUCAACAGGAAGUCACAUGGUCACAAACAGGAAAACAUUGUUGAAAUACCACAGUUUCACAAUAAGAGCGUCUUCUCCAGCCAAUCAGGUGUUCAUAUCAGGUGAUGCUGUCACAUGAUUGGCUGGAUUGCCAGACUUUUAUUUUGUCAAAUUCCAGAAGAAA
Molecule: long non-coding RNA, 725 nt
Organism: Poecilia latipinna (sailfin molly)
Lineage: Eukaryota; Metazoa; Chordata; Actinopteri; Cyprinodontiformes; Poeciliidae
Exons: 3
Source: RefSeq, a predicted model, not a curated record